This 506-nucleotide ribosomal RNA is filed under the name uncultured bacterium. RNAcentral's name for it is "partial 16S ribosomal RNA". It matches the Rfam family "Bacterial small subunit ribosomal RNA", at positions 29 to 523 of the family's 1533-position model. The record is from RNAcentral.
AGUGAACGCUGGCGGUAGGCCUAACACAUGCAAGUCGAACGGCAGCACAGAGGAGCUUGCUCCUUGGGUGGCGAGUGGCGGACGGGUGAGGAAUACAUCGGAAUCUACUCUGUCGUGGGGGAUAACGUAGGGAAACUUACGCUAAUACCGCAUACGACCUACGGGUGAAAGCAGGGGACCUUCGGGCCUUGCGCGAUUUCAGGAGCCGAUGUCGGAUUAGCUAGUUGGCGGGGGAAAGGCCCACCAAGGCGACGAUCCGUAGCUGGUCUGAGAAGGUGAUCAACCACACUGGAACUGAGACACGGUCCAGACUCCUACGGGAGGCAGCAGUGGGGAAUAUUGGGCAAUGGGCGCAAGCCUGAUCCAGCCAUACCGCGUGGGUGAAGAAGGUCUCCGGGUUGUAAAGCCCUUUUGUUGGGAAAGAAAUCCAGCUGGCUAAUACCCGGUUGGGAUGACGGUACCCAAAGAAUAAGCACCGGCUAACUUCGUGCCAGCCGCCGCCGUAA